UAGGGAAUCUUCGGCAAUGGGGGCAACCCUGACCGAGCAACGCCGCGUGAGUGAAGAAGGUUUUCGGAUCGCAAAGCUCUGUUGUAAGAGAAGAACGUGUGUGAGAGUGGAAAGUUCACACAGUGACGGUAACUUACCAGAAAGGGACGGCUAACUACGUGCCAGCAGCCGCGGUAAUACGUAGGUCCCGAGCGUUGUCCGGAUUUAUUGGGCGUAAAGCGAGCGCAGGCGGUUUAAUAAGUCUGAAGUUAAAGGCAGUGGCUUAACCAUUGUUCGCUUUGGAAACUGUUAAACUUGAGUGCAGAAGGGGAGAGUGGAAUUCCAUGUGUAGCGGUGAAAUGCGUAGAUAUAUGGAGGAACACCGGUGGCGAAAGCGGCUCUCUGGUCUGUAACUGACGCUGAGGCUCGAAAGCGUGGGGAGCAAACAGG
This 429-nucleotide ribosomal RNA is filed under the name bacterium. RNAcentral's name for it is "partial 16S ribosomal RNA". It matches the Rfam family "Bacterial small subunit ribosomal RNA", at positions 355 to 776 of the family's 1533-position model. The record is from RNAcentral.